GAUGAAGAACGCAGCGAAAUGCGAUAAGUAAUGUGAAUUGCAGAAUUCAGUGAAUCAUCGAAUCUUUGAACGCACCUUGCACCCUUUGGCAUUCCGAAGGGUAUGCUCGUUUGAGUGUCAUUGUACUCUCACACUCUCCGAUCCUAUGGAUUCGGGGAGCGGUGGACUUGGGUGUUGCUGCCUUUCCCUGUGGCUCACUUCAAAUGCGUCAGUGCACCUCUUGGUUGGACAUAGUACGGCGUGAUAAGUGUCUUCGCCGGCACCUCGCAAGAGGGUGGCCGAUCGGGAGCUCUGCGCUUUCAAACCGUCUUCGGACAAUUUCUGACAUCUUGACCUCAAAUCGAGUAGGACUACCCGCUGAACUUAAGCAUAUCAAUAAGCGGAGGA
This 387-nucleotide unclassified non-coding RNA is filed under the name soil metagenome. Its description in RNAcentral is "partial contains 5.8S ribosomal RNA, internal transcribed spacer 2, and large subunit ribosomal RNA". The stretch from base 1 to 120 matches the Rfam family "5.8S ribosomal RNA", at positions 35 to 154 of the family's 154-position model. The record is from RNAcentral.